Molecule: ribosomal RNA, 503 nt
Filed under: uncultured bacterium
Lineage: Bacteria
Description: partial 16S ribosomal RNA
Rfam family: Bacterial small subunit ribosomal RNA
Source: RNAcentral
AACGAACGCUGGCGGCGUGCCUAACACAUGCAAGUCGAACGAGAAAGGGGCUUCGGCUCCGAGUAAAGUGGCGCACGGGUGAGUAACACGUGGGUAACCUGCCUCUAAGAUUGGGAUAACUCGUCGAAAGAUGAGCUAAUACCGAAUAAGACCACAGUUCCCGCGGGAACAGGGGUCAAAGGUAGCCUCUGCUUGCAAGCUAUCACUUAGAGAUGGGCCUGCGCACCAUUAGCUAGUUGGUAGGGUAACGGCCUACCAAGGCAAAGAUGGUUAGCUGGUCUGAGAGGAUGAUCAGCCACACUGGAACUGAGACACGGUCCAGACUCCUACGGGAGGCAGCAGUGGGGAAUAUUGCGCAAUGGGCGAAAGCUUGACGCAGCAACGCCGCGUGAGUGAUGAAGGCCUUCGGGUCGUAAAGCUCUAUCGGGAGGAACGAAUGCUCCUGAGGUUAACAGCCUCGGGAGGUGACGGUACCUUCAAAGGAAGCACCGGCUAACUCUGUG